GGUCUGGGGAGAGAUGGGUUCUGAGUCAGCAAGAGAGCUGCGGCUGGAAUAAAGGCUGUGAAACUCCAUACUAAGCGCCUGCAGUGCCUGUUGACUUCAGCUGAAGUCCUGAGUGCUUAGCAUCUGUGAAAAUCAAGACUUUAACCUAUUUGUUCUCUAAUACCCCAUCUGUAAAAUGGGAAUGAUACUUGUCUAAAGUGUUUUGCGAUCCUCCAAUGAAAGGUACAACAAAAAUGUUAUCCUCCCAGGUGCAAUGCCAGGACCUCUGCCAUUUGCUGCUCCAAUAUUUAAGCUGUGUUUUUGCCGGCAGACUGCCUGAAACAAUUGCUCAGAGGUGUGGACUCUGUCCUACUCAUCUCAAUGAGAUAUUAACUCUAAGUAUGCCCAACGGUGAUCCUUUUAAAUGAUCGUUCUCAUCAAAGCACAUAAAGGAGGGGGAGGGUCAUAUUAUGAAGAUCUACACAAUCUGCUGUGAGUAAUAUCUCAGUGUGGCACUGCCAGUUGGUAGCAUCUGAUAAAUACCACUACUUACUCCCCACCCCUCGUCCCCCUCGAAAAGGAGCCAAGCCCAAGGAGCCUAGCAGAGGUCAGCUGGAUGUCUGAGUCCAUUACCAAAAUAACAAGAAAAUAGCUCCCGGUGAUAGUGUUAAACAGAAUGGUCUAAUGGUUAAACAAAUGGACUAUAACUGGUUUUAAAAUAACACACAUUUUAACUGGAAGAGAGAUUUGAAACAGCUUUGAACUACAUACAUGCAAUUAGUUAUUCUUCUGCCAGCUGAAUAAGUUUAAGAAGUUGAGAUGGCCCUAUUUGAUGUGGACACAUGGAUGGGGAGCUCUCAGUGAAGGUAAUUGAAUACUUAACAUUUCCAUGCAGUUCUGAUACAGUAACUCUACAGCAUCCCUGUGCUUAAGCUGAGGUUAGGGUUGCCAAUUCUGGUCAGAUGUAUUCCUGGAGGUUUCAUCACAUCCUAUGAUCUCAAAUGAAAGAUUAGUCUUUAAUUUUUGGAGACUCCAGGACAAUCGUGAAAGGUUGGCAACCCUAGCUGAGACCAUUCCAUUUCAGUACAAUAGAAAACAAAUCUUAGUAUAUUCCACACAGAUGAGCAUGAGGUAAAACAUUAAUAUAUCUAGAAAUGAACUUUGGGAUUUAGCAAUAUUACAUGCAUAGGCCUCCAAACUAAAACGUAGUGGUAAAAUAUGUGUGGUUUUGUGAUUAGGACUGGGAGUCAGGAAAGUAAGCUUUUAUUCCUGGCUCGGCCAGACUCAUUACAUGAGCAUGUGCAAGCAACUUAACCAUACUGCACCGCAGGUGCCCCAUCUGUCCAAGUUUAUAUUUACUUCCCUCAUAGGGUCUUGUGAGGCUAAAUUAAUGUUUCUAAAACACUUUGACAUAUGAUGGAAGAUGCUGCAAAUGCACACAGAAUUAUUGCUAAGGAAAAAUGGAAUGUGGACUAAUCUCUCCAAUUUAUUGUACCCUCCCCACCCAAAAUGCAAAAGAUACAGCCCACACAUGUAUUUUAACAUUCUAAAGAACAACCUCCUAAGAAUUCAAUAACAAUAGUUACAGCUAAUCAAUCAAAGUAAAUUUGUGUGACAGUUUAAUACAAUUUGUAACUUUUUUUUUUUUAAGAAAUGUGACUAAUCCCUGGUUUCUGCUGACCCAAAUUAGGUCAGCAUAGCAGGCAUUUAAAUGAUACAGUAACCGAGGCCCACUCCAAUAGAAAAUGGUGGCAGGGUAUUCCCUGGGGAAAGCAAUGAACAAAGCAUCUGAAGAGACAAAGGGAAACAAUUUUUUCAUUGUUUUAUAGAUGCAGUUGCAAAUCAUGAACAGUCUUCUUUCACAGCAAGUGGCUUUGGGGCUUCUGGGAAUUAGUGGCCAGUAGAGUAAUUCUCUGGGUUUGAUUGUUGAAGCAUUUUCCAAUGACAAUGGAAACUUUGAAGAGACUUUAAUUUUACAUGGGGUAGGGGGGAAAUGGAAGCAAAGUGCUGUACUAUAUAGGCUGAUUCUCAGUCACCUUGAUCAUGUGUUCACCUUGCAUAUCCAAAUAGUAUGUGCUUGAUUCAUGAGCUAUAUUAACUAGA
Chelonia mydas (Green sea turtle) is the source of this 2082-nucleotide long non-coding RNA. RefSeq lists it as uncharacterized. The transcript is spliced from 3 exons. NCBI's taxonomy places the organism in Eukaryota, Metazoa, Chordata, Testudines, Cheloniidae. The record is from RefSeq and is a predicted model, not a curated record.